GGUGCGGUAACUCAGUGGAGCAUUAUGCGUAGAGUAGCGGUUUGAAAAGCCGCCGGUCGCUGGUUCGAUCCCAGCUCGUACCACAA
This 86-nucleotide transfer RNA is filed under the name Planctomycetota bacterium. RNAcentral describes it as "Planctomycetes bacterium tRNA-Phe". It matches the Rfam family "tRNA". From Rfam's summary of the family: Transfer RNA (tRNA) molecules are approximately 80 nucleotides in length. Their secondary structure includes four short double-helical elements and three loops (D, anti-codon, and T loops). Lineage: Bacteria; Pseudomonadati; Planctomycetota. The record is from RNAcentral.